GACGAACGCUGGCGGCGCGCCUAACACAUGCAAGUCGAACGAGCGAGAGAGAGCUUGCUUUCUCGAGCGAGUGGCGAACGGGCGAGUAACGCGUGAGGAACCUGCCUCAAAGAGGGGGACAACAGUUGGAAACGACUGCUAAUACCGCAUAAUGUUUCCGAUCCGCAUGGAUUGGAAACCAAAGCUUUAUGUGCUGAAAGAUGGCCUCGCGUCUGAUUAGAUAGUUGGUAGGGUAACGGCCUACCAAGUCAACGAUCAGUAGCCGGUCUGAGAGGAUGAACGGCCACAUUGGGACUGAGAUACGGCCCAG
This 310-nucleotide ribosomal RNA is filed under the name uncultured bacterium. RNAcentral describes it as "bacterial SSU rRNA". It matches the Rfam family "Bacterial small subunit ribosomal RNA", at positions 28 to 334 of the family's 1533-position model. The record is from RNAcentral.